Molecule: ribosomal RNA, 468 nt
Filed under: uncultured bacterium
Lineage: Bacteria
Description: partial 16S ribosomal RNA
Rfam family: Bacterial small subunit ribosomal RNA
Source: RNAcentral
GACGAACGCUGGCGGCGUGCUUAACACAUGCAAGUCGAACGGAAAGGCCCUGCUUUUGUGGGGUGCUCGAGUGGCGAACGGGUGAGUAACACGUGAGUAACCUGCCCUUGACUUUGGGAUAACUUCAGGAAACUGGGGCUAAUACCGGAUAGGAGCUCCUGCUGCAUGGUGGGGGUUGGAAAGUUUCGGCGGUUGGGGAUGGACUCGCGGCUUAUCAGCUUGUUGGUGGGGUAGUGGCUUACCAAGGCUUUGACGGGUAGCCGGCCUGAGAGGGUGACCGGCCACAUUGGGACUGAGAUACGGCCCAGACUCCUACGGGAGGCAGCAGUGGGGAAUAUUGCACAAUGGGCGGAAGCCUGAUGCAGCAACGUCGCGUGCGGGAUGACGGCCUUCGGGUUGUAAACCGCUUUCGCCUGCGACGAAGCGUGAGUGACGGUAAUGGGUAAAGAAGCACCGGCUAACUACGUG